GAAAGCACGCAGUUAGAAUACAUAAAGGCUAAAUCACUGGUAGAGGAAAGUCAGCUGGACUUGGAGGCCAAAACGGAUGCUCUCAACAUAAAUAAGCACUGCAAGGCACGUGAGGCAGUCAGGGUGCUGGCCGAAGCUAACCGAGUCCUGCACGAGAAUGG
Molecule: long non-coding RNA, 161 nt
Organism: Lingula anatina
Lineage: Eukaryota; Metazoa; Brachiopoda; Lingulata; Lingulida; Lingulidae
Source: RefSeq, a predicted model, not a curated record